RNAcentral lists this long non-coding RNA (986 nucleotides) under Equus caballus (horse). RNAcentral's name for it is "lncRNA (ENSECAG00000059390.1)". Lineage: Eukaryota; Metazoa; Chordata; Mammalia; Perissodactyla; Equidae. The record is from RNAcentral.
AUGGACCCGAGGGGGAGGUGUCAGACCAGGCCCUGAAUGCCAGGCUGAGAGGGGUGGGGCUGUCUCUCCUUGGUUGGGAGGCCAGCAGGAGAGGGCCCUGGGGGCCUUUAGAAUAACUCCCUCCAACCUCCGUAUGCACAAAGGGGGUCAUCUUAGACACGAUGGGGGGAGAAUGACUCCCCUCCCCAGACCAGGGCGGUGGAGGGGCGGUGUUUGUUCCUGAGCCCGGCUGGGGUCUCCUCUCGACUUGUCGUGAUGGAUCUUUUUUCCUGGAAGUUUUCACUCAGUCCCCUUCGCUCCCACCAGACCGUGAGCUCCGGGGUCGGCCCAGUGGUCCCAGCACCCAGCCUGGCGCAUAGGAGGGACGUAGUAACUGGGUGAACGGAUGGAUGGAUGGACGGAUGGAUGGACGGACGGACCUCCCUACCUUUCUUCUUCUUGUCGCCAGGAGAGAAAGGAAGGAAAUUUCAAACAACUCUGAGCCGUAGCUCAGCCUGGAGCUGCGGCAACCCCAGCCUCCCUGGCGGGGAGCAUCGACCCAUGGCGGGCGGGCGGGUGCGGCUGCUUUGUGGAGGUGGAGGGCGCUGGGGGACCUGCGCCAACCUGCUUCACGGCGUCCAGACCCCCCUCCACCUCCACCCCGCUCCCGGCAGCUCUGCAGAGCCCGGGUGUCAGCAGCCAGUGGGGGGCUGCGCAGGGAAGGGGUUGGGGGGGGUGGAGCUGUGCAGCCUCUGCAGCAGCCGGCACGGAGAGGCCCUCUUGACGCACAAAAGCAGGAAAGGCACAUUAAGCCCAUUAUCAAUAUUUUGCCUGGAAAAAAUACAAAAAGCAUUUUCGCCUCUGAAAAAUUAAUAACCUGGAAGGGGGGGAGGCUGGGGGUGAUGUCUGGCAAGUGGGGGGCGGGGGAGGCUCCUCUGCCCCCAGUGGGUGCCUGGGUCCCUCUGAGAAAGCCGCCCCAGCCCACCUGACUCGCUUCGCGCCUCCGC